RNAcentral lists this ribosomal RNA (457 nucleotides) under Micrococcus sp. M35. RNAcentral describes it as "bacterial SSU rRNA". It matches the Rfam family "Bacterial small subunit ribosomal RNA", at positions 68 to 539 of the family's 1533-position model. Lineage: Bacteria; Bacillati; Actinomycetota; Actinomycetes; Micrococcales; Micrococcaceae. The record is from RNAcentral.
GCUCCUACUUGCUGGGGUGGAUGAGUGGCGAACGGGUGAGUAAUACGUGAGUAACCUGCCCUUGACUCUGGGAUAAGCCUGGGAAACCGGGUCUAAUACUGGAUACGACGUCCUACCGCAUGGUGGGGCGUGGAAAGGGUUUUACUGGUUUUGGAUGGGCUCACGGCCUAUCAGCUUGUUGGUGGGGUAAUGGCCUACCAAGGCGACGACGGGUAGCCGGCCUGAGAGGGUGACCGGCCACACUGGGACUGAGACACGGCCCAGACUCCUACGGGAGGCAGCAGUGGGGAAUAUUGCACAAUGGGCGCAAGCCUGAUGCAGCGACGCCGCGUGAGGGAUGACGGCCUUCGGGUUGUAAACCUCUUUCAGCAGGGAAGAAGCCACAAGUGACGGUACCUGCAGAAGAAGCGCCGGCUAACUACGUGCCAGCAGCCGCGGUAAUACGUAGGGCGCAAGC